GAUGAACGCUGGCGGCGUGCCUAAUACAUGCAAGUCGAGCGAACGGACGAGAAGCUUGCUUUUCUGAUGUUAGCGGCGGACGGGUGAGUAACACGUGGAUAACCUACCUAUAAGACUGGGAUAACUUCGGGAAACCGGAGCUAAUACCGGAUAAUAUUUUGAACCGCAUGGUUCAAAAGUGAAAGACGGUCCUGCUGUCACUUAUAGAUGGAUCCGCGCUGCAUUAGCUAGUUGGUAAGGUAACGGCUUACCAAGGCAACGAUGCAUAGCCGACCUGAGAGGGUGAUCGGCCACACUGGAACUGAGACACGGUCCAGACUCCUACGGGAGGCAGCAGUAGGGAAUCUUCCGCAAUGGGCGAAAGCCUGACGGAGCAACGCCGCGUGAGUGAUGAAGGUCUUCGCAUCGUAAAACUCUGUUAUUAGGGAAGAACAUAUGUGUAAGUAACUGUGCACAUCUUGACGGUACCUAAUCAGAAAGCCACGGCUAACUACGUG
RNAcentral lists this ribosomal RNA (497 nucleotides) under uncultured bacterium. RNAcentral describes it as "partial 16S ribosomal RNA". It matches the Rfam family "Bacterial small subunit ribosomal RNA", at positions 28 to 507 of the family's 1533-position model. The record is from RNAcentral.